RNAcentral lists this ribosomal RNA (433 nucleotides) under uncultured bacterium. RNAcentral describes it as "partial 16S ribosomal RNA". It matches the Rfam family "Bacterial small subunit ribosomal RNA", at positions 29 to 507 of the family's 1533-position model. The record is from RNAcentral.
AACGAACGCUGGCGGCAUGCCUAACACAUGCAAGUCGAACGAGACCUUCGGGUCUAGUGGCGCACGGGUGCGUAACGCGUGGGAACCUGCCCUUAGGUUCGGAAUAACUCCCCGAAAGGGGUGCUAAUACCGGAUAAUGUCUUCGGACCAAAGAUUUAUCGCCUUUGGAUGGGCCCGCGUUGGAUUAGCUAGUUGGUAGGGUAAAAGCCUACCAAGGCGACGAUCCAUAGCUGGUAUGAGAGGAUGAUCAGCCACACUGGGACUGAGACAAGGCCCAGACUCCUACGGGAGGCAGCAGUGGGGAAUAUUGGACAAUGGGCGAAAGCCUGAUCCAGCAAUGCCGCGUGAGUGAUGAAGGCCUUAGGGUGGUAAAGCUCUUUUACCCGGGAUGAUAAUGACAGUACCGGGAGAAUAAGCUCCGGCUAACUACGUG